UGGGGAAUAUUGCACAAUGGGGGAAAGCCUGAUCCAGCCAUGCCGCGUGUGUGAAGAAGGUCUUCGGAUUGUAAAGCACUUUAAGUUGGGAGGAAGGGCAUUAACCUAAUACGUUAGUGUUUUGACGUUACCGACAGAAUAAGCACCGGCUAACUCUGUGCCAGCAGCCGCGGUCAUACAGAGGGUGCAAGCGUUAAUCGGAAUUACUGGGCGUAAAGCGCGCGUAGGUGGUUUGUUAAGUUGGAUGUGAAAUCCCCGGGCUCAACCUGGGAACUGCAUUCAAAACUGACUGACUAGAGUAUGGUAGAGGGUGGUGGAAUUUCCUGUGUAGCGGUGAAAUGCGUAGAUAUAGGAAGGAACACCAGUGGCGAAGGCGACCACCUGGACUAAUACUGACACUGAGGUGCGAAAGCGUGGGGAGCAAACA
This 427-nucleotide ribosomal RNA is filed under the name uncultured bacterium. RNAcentral's name for it is "partial 16S ribosomal RNA". It matches the Rfam family "Bacterial small subunit ribosomal RNA", at positions 355 to 774 of the family's 1533-position model. The record is from RNAcentral.